AGUGAACGCUGGCGGUAGGCCUAACACAUGCAAGUCGAACGGCAGCACAGUAAGAGCUUGCUCUUACGGGUGGCGAGUGGCGGACGGGUGAGGAAUACAUCGGAAUCUACUUUUUCGUGGGGGAUAACGUAGGGAAACUUACGCUAAUACCGCAUACGACCUACGGGUGAAAGCAGGGGAUCUUCGGACCUUGCGCGAUUGAAUGAGCCGAUGUCGGAUUAGCUAGUUGGCGGGGUAAAGGCCCACCAAGGCGACGAUCCGUAGCUGGUCUGAGAGGAGGGUAGGCCACACUGGAACUGAGACACGGACCAGACUCCUACGGUAGGGAGCAGUCGGGAAUAUUGGACAGUGGGCGCAAGCCUGAUCCAGCCAGACCGCGUGGGUGAAGAAGGCCUUCGGGUUGUAAAGCCCUUUUGUUGGGAAAGAAAAGCAGCAGGUUAAUACCCCGCUGUUCUGACGGUACCCAAAGAAUAAGCACCGGCUAACUUCGUG
Molecule: ribosomal RNA, 492 nt
Filed under: uncultured bacterium
Lineage: Bacteria
Description: partial 16S ribosomal RNA
Rfam family: Bacterial small subunit ribosomal RNA
Source: RNAcentral